GGAGAGGUGUCCGAGCGGUUUAAGGAGCGCGCCUGGAAAGCGCGUAUGUGGUCACAAGCUGCAUCGCGGGUUCGAAUCCCGCCCUCUCCGCCA
RNAcentral lists this transfer RNA (93 nucleotides) under Truepera sp. RNAcentral describes it as "tRNA-Ser". It matches the Rfam family "tRNA". From Rfam's summary of the family: Transfer RNA (tRNA) molecules are approximately 80 nucleotides in length. Their secondary structure includes four short double-helical elements and three loops (D, anti-codon, and T loops). Lineage: Bacteria; Thermotogati; Deinococcota; Deinococci; Trueperales; Trueperaceae. The record is from RNAcentral.